Molecule: ribosomal RNA, 429 nt
Filed under: Pseudomonadota bacterium
Lineage: Bacteria; Pseudomonadati; Pseudomonadota
Description: Proteobacteria bacterium partial 16S ribosomal RNA
Rfam family: Bacterial small subunit ribosomal RNA
Source: RNAcentral
UGGGGAAUAUUGGACAAUGGGCGAAAGCCUGAUCCAGCCAUGCCGCGUGUGUGAAGAAGGUCUUCGGAUUGUAAAGCACUUUAAGUUGGGAGGAAGGGCAGUAAGCGAAUACCUUGCUGUUUUGACGUUACCGACAGAAUAAGCACCGGCUAACUCUGUGCCAGCAGCCGCGGUAAUACAGAGGGUGCAAGCGUUAAUCGGAAUUACUGGGCGUAAAGCGCGCGUAGGUGGUUCGUUAAGUUGAAUGUGAAAGCCCCGGGCUCAACCUGGGAACUGCAUCCAAAACUGGCGAGCUAGAGUAGGGCAGAGGGUCGUGGAAUUUCCUGUGUAGCGGUGAACUGCGUAGAUGUAGGAAGGAACGCCAGUGGCGAAGGCGACCACCUGGGCUCAUACUGACACUGAGGUGCGAAAGCGUGGGGAGCAAACAGG